This 1081-nucleotide ribosomal RNA is filed under the name Bipalium adventitium. RNAcentral's name for it is "partial large subunit ribosomal RNA". It matches the Rfam family "Eukaryotic large subunit ribosomal RNA", at positions 408 to 1317 of the family's 3401-position model. Lineage: Eukaryota; Metazoa; Platyhelminthes; Tricladida; Geoplanidae. The record is from RNAcentral.
CUUAGAGGUAAACGAGUGGAGCCGAAGGUGUUGUUUAGAAUUCAGUUGAUUGCAUUUUGCACGUAGAUUAGCAACAUUUUUAUGGGAGUUGUUGAUUUACCUUUUUGCAGAGUGUAAUUGAUGCAUUUUCUAUUCAACUAUACUGCGACCAAUAGUGUUGGUUUUCUGUCGUAAUUGUGAAGGUGAUCAAUUUUUCGAAAUUGGUUUUAUAGCUAAUUACAUGGUUAACUAAUGUAUUGUUAAACGCGAUUUUCUUAUUUUGAUUAAUAUUGAUUUGGAAUAUUUAGUUUUAGACUAUAAAUAGACUAUUUUUAAAUAUUUUAUGUCUUUGGUAAUUAAAGGGUUAAUCUAAAGUCUGCAGUCAUUAUGUAGGUUACCUACUUGUCCCGUCUUGAAACACGGACCAAGGAGUUUUAUAUGAUCGCGAGUCAAAGGGCUUUACGAAACCCCAGGGCGUAAUUAAUGUAAAGAUUCACUUUAGUGAAUUGAAAUGUGACCUAGCCGUAAAAAGCUUGAGCAACAUUGACCCGUCUAAAGAUGUUCGCAUCUGGGCGGAGUUUGAGCGAUCAUGUAGAGACCCGAAAGAUGGUGAACUAUGCUUGUGCAGGUUGAAGUCAGAGGAAACCCUGAUGGAGGACCGCCGCGGUUCUGACGUGCAAAUCGAUCGUCGGACAUGAGUAUAGGGGCGAAAGACUAAUCGAACCAUCUAGUAGCUGGUUCCCUCCGAAGUUUCCCUCAGGAUAGCUGGCAUUUGUUGUCGUAGUUUUACCUGGUAAAGCGAAUGAUUAGAAGUAUUGGGGACGAAAUGUCUUCAACUUAUUCUCAAACUUUAAAUGGGUUCGAAGUGCAUCUCUCUUUAUUUGGAGAUGUACAUUGAAUACGAAUGCCUAGUGGGCCAUUUUUGGUAAGCAGAACUGGCGAUGUGGGAUGAACCAAACAUUUGGUUAAGGUGCCUAACAUCACGCUCAUGAGAACCCACAAAAGGUGUUGGUUGAUAAAGACAGCAGGACGGUGGACAUGGAAGUCGUCAUCCGCUAAGGAGUGUGUAACAACUCACCUGCCGAAUCAACCAGCCCUGAAA